Long non-coding RNA from Haemorhous mexicanus (house finch), 180 nucleotides. RefSeq lists it as uncharacterized. Lineage: Eukaryota; Metazoa; Chordata; Aves; Passeriformes; Fringillidae. The transcript has 2 exons. The record is from RefSeq and is a predicted model, not a curated record.
UUUUCAGUGUCAGUGGCACCUCCCAGUCCUGUGAUCACCCUAGGGGGUGGCUCAAAGCCUGCUCCUGACCACAGCACCCGUGGAGGUUUCCCAGUGGAAUUAAAGAGUAAGGAGACCCGGGAGCACCAGCUCUGGAAAACAGGACUGGAAAGAGUUUUGAGAGGUCAUGAGAGAGAAAAA